AAUCUUCGGCAAUGGGCGAAAGCCUGACCGAGCGACGCCGCGUGAAGGAUGAAGGCCCUCGGGUCGUAAACUUCUAAAAGAGGGACGAUAAUGACGGUACCUCUUGAAAAGCACCGGCUAACUCCGUGCCAGCAGCCGCGGUAAUACGGAGGGUGCAAGCGUUAUCCGGAAUCAUUGGGUUUAAAGGGUCCGUAGGCGGCCUUAUAAGUCAGCGGUGAAAGUUUUUGGCUUAACCAAAAAAUUGCCGUUGAUACUGUAGGGCUUGAAUUUUUGUGAAGUAACUAGAAUAUGUAGUGUAGCGGUGAAAUGCUUAGAUAUUACAUGGAAUACCAAUUGCGAAGGCAGGUUACUAACAAACGAUUGACGCUGAUGGACGAAAGCGUGGGUAGCGAACA
This 395-nucleotide ribosomal RNA is filed under the name uncultured bacterium. Its description in RNAcentral is "partial 16S ribosomal RNA". It matches the Rfam family "Bacterial small subunit ribosomal RNA", at positions 360 to 774 of the family's 1533-position model. The record is from RNAcentral.